This 460-nucleotide ribosomal RNA is filed under the name uncultured bacterium. Its description in RNAcentral is "partial 16S ribosomal RNA". It matches the Rfam family "Bacterial small subunit ribosomal RNA", at positions 338 to 795 of the family's 1533-position model. The record is from RNAcentral.
CCUACGGGAGGCAGCAGUGAGGAAUAUUGGUCAAUGGGCGCGAGUCUGAACCAGCCAAGUCGCGUGAAGGAUGACUGCCCUACGGGUUGUAAACUUCUUUUAUAAAGGAAUAAAGUGAGGCACGUGUGCCUUUUUGUAUGUACUUUAUGAAUAAGGAUCGGCUAACUCCGUGCCAGCAGCCGCGGUAAUACGGAGGAUCCUAGCGUUAUCCGGAUUUAUUGGGUUUAAAGGGAGCGUAGAUGGGCUGUUAAGUCAGUUGUGAAAGUUUGCGGCUCAACCGUAAAAUUGCAAUUGAUACUGGCAGUCUUGAGUGCAGUUGAGGUAGGCGGAAUUCGUGGUGUAGCGGUGAAAUGCUUAGAUAUCACGAAGAACUCCGAUUGCGAAGGCAGCUUACUAAACUGCAACUGACGUUGAUGCUCGAAAGUGUGGGUAUCAAACAGGAUUAGAUACCCGAGUAGUC